UACGUAGGGGGCGAGCGUUGUCCGGAUUUACUGGGCGUAAAACGCUUGUAGGCGGCCACGCCAAGUCGGACGUGAAAUCUCCCGGCUUAACUGGGAGGGGUCGUUCGAUACUGGCGGGCUCGAGGCAGGUAGGGGGAAGCGGAAUUCCCGGUGUAGUGGUGGAAUGCGUAGAUAUCGGGAGGAACACCAGUGGCGAAGGCGGUUGCCUGGAGCUUUGCUGACGCUGAUGCGCGAAAGCGUGGGGAGCGAGUCCGG
Molecule: ribosomal RNA, 255 nt
Filed under: uncultured bacterium
Lineage: Bacteria
Description: partial 16S ribosomal RNA
Rfam family: Bacterial small subunit ribosomal RNA
Source: RNAcentral